AGGGCACCACCAGGAGUGGAGCCUGCGGCUUAAUUUGACUCAACACGGGAAAACUCACCCGGCCCGGACACUGGAAGGAUUGACAGAUUGAGAGCUCUUUCUUGAUUCAGUGGGUGGUGGUGCAUGGCCGUUCUUAGUUGGUGGAGUGAUUUGUCUGGUUAAUUCCGAUAACGAACGAGACUCUAGCCUACUAAAUAGAUCGUCGGCUUACAGACGCCGACGAGACUUCUUAGAGGGACAGGCGGUGAUUCAACCGCACGAAACAGAGCAAUAACAGGUCUGUGAUGCCCUUAGACGUCCGGGGCCGCACGCGCGCUACACUGAAGUGAUCAGCGUGCUUUUGUCAACCUACUCUGUCAAGAGUGGGGAACCCAAUGAACCUUCUUCGUGAUUGGGAUAGGGGAUUGUAAUUAUUCCCCUUGAACGAGGAAUUCCCAGUAAGCGCGAGUCAUAAGCUCGCGUUGACUACGUCCCUGCCCUUUGUACACACCGCCCGUCGCUACUACCGAUUGAAUGUUU
RNAcentral lists this ribosomal RNA (519 nucleotides) under uncultured eukaryote. RNAcentral describes it as "SSU rRNA". It matches the Rfam family "Eukaryotic small subunit ribosomal RNA", at positions 1161 to 1698 of the family's 1831-position model. The record is from RNAcentral.